GAAACCUAGUAAUAGAAAAUGGAUAAAUCAUAUUGAAAAUCAGAUAAAAUGCAGGGAAAUUCAAAAAAUAAAUUACAGAUAUUAGUUUAUAUAGCAAGUGAAUAGUAUUGGACUUCUGUAAGAAAGGCUGGGAUCCAGAUCCGUUUCUGACUUUUGUUAGCUUUGUGAUCCUGGCUUGUGAAUAUGAUUUGUCCCUGGCUAAGUCUUCAUCUGGAGAAUAGGAGUGGUACUACUUGCUCCACAGGAUGGGAAACUGCUUGGCAAACCUGAAAGCCCUCUCGAAUUAUUGGCUCUUGUCAGACUUAUCCAGUCAGUUUGCUAUUAUUGAACAGAGGUAUGUUUACUAAAUUCUUCCUUUAUGUUGAAUUGAAUUUUCUCUCCUGCAGUCUCCACUAGUUAGUUUUUGUUCUUUCUUUUGGAGCAAAAAGUUCUUCCCUUUAACUGCCUUCAUAAUACACAAAGAUCUGGCUUUCUGGCUCCCUUCCUCUCUUCUCCAGACUAAAUAUUCCUAGUUUUUUCAACUGUUCAUCAUAUAACAUAGUUUCUACAUUCUACUCUACCUCUUCUACAAUGUCCUUCCUACUCCAUUUCACAAACUUUCAUUGUCCGGCUUAAAAUGUAGCCCCCAGAGAGGUACACAGAAUUCCAAAUGUGGCCUCAACGAAUGCAAAACAUAAUAAAACUUUAUAUUAUGUAUAUGUAUGUAUAUAUCCAUAUACGUACACAUGUAAACUAUAUAACAGCUUUAUAACUGGACAUUGUGCUUUUUGCAUGAAAACUAGUCUUGUACUGUAUCUGGGAUUAAAUGACUGAAAUUUUAAACUUCCUUUUAACAAGCAAUAUUUUUAACACUUGUGAUUGUAUUUCACAUUUCCAAAGGAGCUUUCAUAAUAAUGAACCAUGAUAUCGUUUAGAUUUUUGUGAUGUCAAGAAUGUAAACAAGCUGAUGUCAAAUGUAGAUGUAUUUCUUUUAUAAAACUAAAUUGAAUGUGACAAUAUUAUAUCAUCAUCAUAAAAGGUAGCUUGUUUAUACAUUACAGCUGGCACUAAAAAUGUUUUCUGUGUUACAGAACACUGUGUCAUCUUGGUAUCUUGCCAAAUACUUAGUAAAAUAGACUACAUUGUGAAAGAGUAGUAGGAAAUUGUGAGAUUUUAGACAAUACCUUUGAUAAUACAUCAAGCUCCUAGAUGGUUAUAUGAAGAGAGCUUCAUAUGUGGGACUGGCAUAUCCUUAAUACUACUUUCUGUCUGUCUAUAUGAUAGUAACUUCUAAGACAGAUCUCAACAUUGGAAGAUUCUAAAAACAUGUUCAACUUACUUUCAAAUAAAAAAUAGGUGGAAACUAAACAAUCAUAUGAUCCUUGUAGUUUGAAAUAUAAAAAACAUUGUUCCAUUUGAUUUGUCAGUACAAUUGGAAAAUCAGGACCAAGGAAGUCACUUGUUUCCUUUGAAAUAUUUUAUUGUAGAGCCUGUUUUUAUCUUUCAACUAUUUUAAUUCUUUUAGUUAUUAUGGGGACUUGAUGUUUAUUUUAAAUUUUUACAGGUAUCUGAUAAUAUUAUUAAAUCUUACCAUUACGUUUUCCUAAAAUAAUUCACAUUUAAGGAUAUUUGAGAAUCAUCUCUGGCAUAGUAGAUCGAUUUGGCUUCUGUGUAGGGAAAAGCUGGAGGUUCUAGUACUGCCUCUUACUAAUCUGUAUCUGGUAAAGGAAGCUGUCUCAUCUGAAUUCCAUUACAGGAAUGAAAUCACAGAUCUGGUGUCCUCACACCCACUCAUGUUUAGUUAUCACUUUUUGAAAUUUGUAAAGUAUCUUUAAAAGAGACUUUCUGCUAAGUUGGACAGAGAGCCCAAGUCCCCCAGGACAAAGUGACUAAGGUUUAAGAAGGACUUCCUCAAAGCCUGCCUCUAGAAUGUAGCUACACUGAAAACAUUAUCCCCAAUUUUGCAGGGAAUGAAACAGAGGACCUGGGAAAUUAAGAGGUGUGUCAUGUAGCUGAUUAAUGUGCCAUCGAAGAGUCGGACCUUUGUCAACUGACUACAAGUCCAGUGUUUUUUUUCACUCUGCCAUAUGCCUCACCAUCUUCUCCAGUUAAUUUCAAAUAUAUUUAUUUUUAAGUGAUUAAAAUAUUUGUUUUUGGCAUGCAAACUAAUAAUUUGAUUCUCUUUGUCAAUUAAAUCUUGAAAGAGCACCUUUUAACACUUAAAAAAUUUAGUAUAAAAUAUAUUUUAAGGCCAUAUAUUUCUUCAUAAGACAUUUGAGCUGAGCAUACAAAAUUGUUUUUGCUUUUAACAGAUUUAGAUCUUCUAUAUAACAAUUUAACCAUAGGAAAUAAAGAUAUUGCUGAUGGUAAAGUUAAACAAAUGAACUAUUCUCAAAUGUCACAUAAUUGAAAUUUUGUCAUAGAGUUUUCUAUUCAGUUUCUUUGUCAGAUUGGCCUUUGAUUUGAUAUGUUAAUUAUUUUUGUUGAUUUGACUAAAUACUGAUACAGAAAACCUUGUUUAGUUAUUGAAAGCUGGUUCAGUAUCUCUGCCAUAGAGAAAAGAUCAGAGAAAAGAAAUAACUGGUGUUUAUUAUUUAUAGUUAAUUUAUUAUGCCUUUGGUGUUUUUGGUGUUGGAAGAAUACAUUUUUGGAAUUCUUACAUUUUUUUCUUUUCUCUAAAGUAUUAGAAAACUUUAUCUACAAUAACAGCCAAAAAUAAUGCAAAACUAUAUUUCACCAAGAAGGAACAGCCAAGAUUAUGGCAUAAGAUGGUGUUCUUAAGGCCAGUUUUUGUGAGCUUUGAAAAACACACUCCCUUCACUUUUCUCAUCUCAUUGUGUGGCUGAUUGGUUUGGAGAAACCCCCCGUAGGGAGAAGGGGAGCUCAUACCUG
Sarcophilus harrisii (Tasmanian devil) is the source of this 2871-nucleotide long non-coding RNA. RefSeq lists it as uncharacterized. The transcript has 3 exons. The record is from RefSeq and is a predicted model, not a curated record. NCBI's taxonomy places the organism in Eukaryota, Metazoa, Chordata, Mammalia, Dasyuromorphia, Dasyuridae.